Rhineura floridana is the source of this 544-nucleotide long non-coding RNA. RefSeq lists it as uncharacterized. Lineage: Eukaryota; Metazoa; Chordata; Lepidosauria; Squamata; Rhineuridae. The transcript is spliced from 3 exons. The record is from RefSeq and is a predicted model, not a curated record.
GAGACUAUAGUGGACAAAAGACUUGAGAUUUCUAACAGCCUUAGUUUCACUAGCCCGUUUUUCAUAUACAAGGAGUAAAGCAACAGAAGUACCAGGUUCUUGUUGAUACUGUUUUUGUCCAGAAAUAAUACGAAAGGGGUGAGGGAGUGAUCCAGGAAGGGAAGACAGAAGCAAGUGGAAGAGUGAUGCAGCCCUCAGACUGAAAAAGGCUCCUCGCCCCUGGUGUAGUGGUUAAAGUGUUGAGCAUGAGUUGGAGGCCUGGGUUGAAAAUCACUACUCAGUCAGAUUUUUAAUUCUUACAACAGCCCUGUUUAAUAAGUUAGGAUAAAAGUGACUGCUCUCCGAUCACCCAGUGAUCUUCAUAUUUCAGCAGUGAUUUGAACCCAAGUCUUCCUAACCCAAACCUAGCACAAUAUCCACUAUAUCACAGCUGCUAUGCUGCAGUCAGCUGACUUAAUCACAAGAUGAAUUGCAACUUGCACUCUAGCAAUCUCUCCCACUUUUAACUGGCCACAGGGACAGGAGCUGAUCCAUCCAAGGCUAC